CAGCCGUAAACAAUGUGCGUUAGGUGUGUCGGUAACCACGUGUUACUGAUGCGCCGAAGAGAAAUCGUGAAACGCACCACCUGGGAAGUACGGUCGCAAGGCUGAAACUUAAAGGAAUUGGCGGGGGGAGCACCACAACAGGUGGAGCCUGCGGUUUAAUUGGAUUCAACGCCGGACAUCUCACCGGAUAAGACAGCUGAAUGAUUGUCAAUCUGAAGGUUUUACAUGACUAGCUGAGAGGUGGUGCAUG
RNAcentral lists this ribosomal RNA (250 nucleotides) under uncultured archaeon. RNAcentral's name for it is "partial 16S ribosomal RNA". It matches the Rfam family "Archaeal small subunit ribosomal RNA", at positions 748 to 996 of the family's 1478-position model. The record is from RNAcentral.